Apis cerana (Asiatic honeybee) is the source of this 929-nucleotide long non-coding RNA. RefSeq lists it as uncharacterized. Lineage: Eukaryota; Metazoa; Arthropoda; Insecta; Hymenoptera; Apidae. The record is from RefSeq and is a predicted model, not a curated record.
CCAGGAUAUUGAUGUUAUACUACAGUUAAUUAGAGGGAUUACUUCUCGCGAGUCUGAUGUACAUUCAUACAAGUUAAACUUUGUUUAUAAACAGAAACAAAAUGAUUCACUUAAAAAUAUUGGCUUCCUAACUGGAAUCAAUAGAAAGGGAACGAUGUUUUGGUUACUCGCCGUUAGAGAUUUUUCGAAAGAUGAAAUUCAAGGCUAAUACUUCGUUGAAAUUUUCGUGAUUGGAUCCGUGAGUGAAUUUUUCAAAACUUUUAAGUGAAUUAUUUAAAUAACUAUGAUUAUGACUGUAUAUCAAAUAAUAUUAUCUUAUUAUAAAAGUGUUGUGAAUUAUUAUUCAAUAAAAACUCGAAAGACAACAAGAGACAAGAAAAGAAGACAAGUUUACAAGCAUCUUCAGGAAUUACUGACCCGUACCUUAAAUCCGUUUAACAAGCGGAGUGCUGAUUUACCUGGAGGAUUUCUGACGGAUAUUGCAACCUUCCCGAUUGUCUGGUGGAUGGAGUCUCUUGUUAGUGGUGAUGCAACUGGUUUUUGUCACUGUAGAUGAUGGAGGAAACACGAGAAGAAUCGGAAAGAAUGAAACAGCCAGCGAAGAAAAAUUUGCAGAGAUUACGUAGCGAUAAAAAUCGAAAUAUCUGUCCGAUAUUAAAUUUUAUUUGCAAUUAUCAAUCAGUGUUUAAUUAACGGUCCAUACAUUUACAAUUUGAUAUAUAGAUCGAAUGUUUGUGAUAAGAGAGAAUUUACAGUCGCAAGCAAAUUCACUCGAUUCGAAAAUCAUGAUUUUAAUUGAAAAUGUCUAUGUGUAACGUAAAGCAUAAUGCAAUAACAUUUUUUUUUUCGAAAUGGGAGAUCUCUUUGCAUAAAAUUAACUUUCAAGUUUUUCGUGAUUUAUUUUUUUCGUCUUCCGAGCUAAUAUUUUU